RNAcentral lists this ribosomal RNA (582 nucleotides) under Arthrobacter sp. MYb216. Its description in RNAcentral is "bacterial SSU rRNA". It matches the Rfam family "Bacterial small subunit ribosomal RNA", at positions 80 to 676 of the family's 1533-position model. The record is from RNAcentral. Lineage: Bacteria; Bacillati; Actinomycetota; Actinomycetes; Micrococcales; Micrococcaceae.
UUGCUGGGGUGAUUAGUGGCGAACGGGUGAGUAACACGUGAGUAACCUGCCCCCGACUCUGGGAUAAGCCCGGGAAACUGGGUCUAAUACUGGAUAUGACCUUUGACCGCAUGGUCUUUGGUGGAAAGAUUUAUCGGUUGGGGAUGGACUCGCGGCCUAUCAGCUUGUUGGUGAGGUAAUGGCUCACCAAGGCGACGACGGGUAGCCGGCCUGAGAGGGUGACCGGCCACACUGGGACUGAGACACGGCCCAGACUCCUACGGGAGGCAGCAGUGGGGAAUAUUGCACAAUGGGCGAAAGCCUGAUGCAGCGACGCCGCGUGAGGGAUGACGGCCUUCGGGUUGUAAACCUCUUUCAGUAGGGAAGAAGCGAAAGUGACGGUACCUGCAGAAGAAGCGCCGGCUAACUACGUGCCAGCAGCCGCGGUAAUACGUAGGGCGCAAGCGUUAUCCGGAUUUAUUGGGCGUAAAGAGCUCGUAGGCGGUUUGUCGCGUCUGCCGUGAAAGUCCGAGGCUCAACCUCGGAUCUGCGGUGGGUACGGGCAGACUAGAGUGAUGUAGGGGAGACUGGAAUUCCUGGUGU